UACGGGGGGAGCAAGCGUUGUUCGGAAUUACUGGGCGUAAAGGGCUCGUAGGCGGCCAACUAAGUCAGACGUGAAAUCCCUCGGCUUAACCGGGGAACUGCGUCUGAUACUGGUUGGCUUGAAUCCGGGAGAGGGAUGUGGAAUUCCAGGUGUAGCGGUGAAAUGCGUAGAUAUCUGGAGGAACACCGGUGGCGAAGGCGGCAUCCUGGACCGGUAUUGACGCUGAGGCACGAAGGUCAGGGGAGCAAACGGG
RNAcentral lists this ribosomal RNA (253 nucleotides) under uncultured bacterium. RNAcentral's name for it is "partial 16S ribosomal RNA". It matches the Rfam family "Bacterial small subunit ribosomal RNA", at positions 524 to 776 of the family's 1533-position model. The record is from RNAcentral.